Molecule: ribosomal RNA, 253 nt
Filed under: uncultured bacterium
Lineage: Bacteria
Description: partial 16S ribosomal RNA
Rfam family: Bacterial small subunit ribosomal RNA
Source: RNAcentral
UACAGAGGUCCCAAGCGUUGUUCGGAUUCACUGGGCGUAAAGGGUGCGUAGGUGGUCGGGUAAGUCUGAUGUGAAAUCCCGCAGCUCAACUGCGGAAUGGCAUUGGAUACUAUUUGGCUAGAGGGUUGGAGGGGGGACUGGAAUUCUCGGUGUGGCAGUGAAAUGCGUAGAUAUUGGGAGGAACACCAGUGGCGAAGGCGGCUCACUGGACCGGUACUGACGCUGAGGCGCGAAAGCGUGGGGAGCAAACGGG